CAGUAGCCACGGGAAUACAGAGGGUGCGAGCGUUAAUCGGAUUUACUGGGCGUAAAGCGUGCGUAGGCGGCUAAUUGAGUCGGAUGUGAAAUCCCCGAGCUUAACUUGGGAAUUGCAUUCGAUACUGGUUAGCUAGAGUGUGGGAGAGGAUGGUAGAAUUCCAGGUGUAGCGGUGAAAUGCGUAGAGAUCUGGAGGAAUACCGAUGGCGAAGGCAGCCAUCUGGCCUAACACUGACGCUGAGGUACGAAAGCAUGGGGAGCAAACAGGGUUAGAUACCCCAGUAGUCCCUGUCUCUUAUAC
RNAcentral lists this ribosomal RNA (301 nucleotides) under uncultured bacterium. Its description in RNAcentral is "partial 16S ribosomal RNA". It matches the Rfam family "Bacterial small subunit ribosomal RNA", at positions 509 to 807 of the family's 1533-position model. The record is from RNAcentral.